GGCUAGUAUUCCAAAGGUCGUAGGUUCGAAUCCCACCGUGGCCGGGCAUAUUUUUCAAGCUCGCCCGGUGUGGAUAUACACUCAGAGUAACACCACAAAUAUCAUAUUCACCUGUGUACACUACACCCACACAGAAAAAAAAUCUUUUAUCUUUUAUGUAAAUAUUUAGAUUUUGUUUUUAUAUUAUUGUUAUGCGCAUGUGAGCAUAUUUGAAUGGAACUUGCGCAAUACAAAUUAAGUUAUUAUUAUUAAUUAUUAUUAUUUAUCAG
Molecule: non-coding RNA, 269 nt
Organism: Paramuricea clavata
Lineage: Eukaryota; Metazoa; Cnidaria; Anthozoa; Malacalcyonacea; Plexauridae
Source: the annotation of a GenBank genome assembly